RNAcentral lists this RNase P RNA (391 nucleotides) under Promineifilum sp. (SeqCode). RNAcentral's name for it is "RNase P RNA component class A". It matches the Rfam family "Bacterial RNase P class A". Rfam says of the family: Ribonuclease P (RNase P) is a ubiquitous endoribonuclease, found in archaea, bacteria and eukarya as well as chloroplasts and mitochondria. Its best characterised activity is the generation of mature 5'-ends of tRNAs by cleaving the 5'-leader elements of precursor-tRNAs. Cellular RNase Ps are ribonucleoproteins. The record is from RNAcentral. Lineage: Bacteria; Bacillati; Chloroflexota; Ardenticatenia; Promineifilales (SeqCode); Promineifilaceae (SeqCode).
CAAGCAGGCUGGGUGAUCGCGGUUCCGGUUCCCCGGGAUCGAGGAAAGUCCGCACUCCACAGAGCAUGGUGCCGGCUAACGGCCGGGCGGGGUGACUCGACGGCAAGUGCAACAGAGAGGCGUAUUGCCGCAGGGGGCAACCUUUGUGGCGAGGGUGAAACGGUGGUGUAAGAGACCACCGGCGGCGGCAGUGAUGUCGCCGGCCAGGCAAACCCCACCAGGAGCAAGGCCAAGCAGGGCGAAAGGCGCUCGUCGCCUACGGGGCUGCUCGUUCCGUCUGACGUCCGGGUAGGCUGCACGAGGUCAUCGGCAACGAUGGCCCCAGAGAGAUGAUCGCCGGGUGUUGGUCCGCCAACGCCUACAGAAUGCGGCUUAUAGGCCUGCUUGCUAA